GAUGAAGAACGUAGCGAAAUGCGAUAAGUAGUGUGAAUUGCAGAAUUCAGUGAAUCAUCGAAUCUUUGAACGCACAUUGCGCCCUUUGGUAUUCCUUAGGGCAUGCCUGUUCGAGCGUCAUUUAAACCUUCAAGCUAAGCUUGGUGUUGGGUGACUGUCCGCUUCACUGCGGACUCGCCUCAAAAUUAUUGGCGGCCGGUACAUUGGCUUCGAGCGCAGCAGAAACGCGAACUCGGGCCCGUCGUAUUGGCUCCCAGAAGCUAUCUUCACAAUUUUGACCUCGGAUCAGGUAGGGAUACCCGCUGAACUUAAGCAUAUCAAUAAGGGAGGA
Molecule: unclassified non-coding RNA, 331 nt
Filed under: soil metagenome
Description: partial contains 5.8S ribosomal RNA, internal transcribed spacer 2, and large subunit ribosomal RNA
Rfam family: 5.8S ribosomal RNA (bases 1-120)
Source: RNAcentral